This 1675-nucleotide long non-coding RNA is filed under the name Brachypodium distachyon (stiff brome). RNAcentral's name for it is "long non-coding RNA (BDIS_LNC001920)". The record is from RNAcentral. Lineage: Eukaryota; Viridiplantae; Streptophyta; Magnoliopsida; Poales; Poaceae.
UCUUUCUUUUUUUUUCCUAACUUGCAUGAUUCUGCUGAUACAUACUUGCACAGGGUAAUGUAACUUUUCUCUACUGCUGCUUAUGGGUUGGAUUUUGUGAUAUGAACUACAACUGCUAGUGUCAUCUUGAAGAUCCGAGUGUGCAAACCCUUGAAAAGAAACAGAUCCAAGUGGGCUUCUCUACAUGUGUUUGAGCUGGAAAAUCGUAGUGUGCUUUUCGGAUAGAGCACUUGACAUUUCGAUUGGAUUACCAUACACUUCUAUGUAAGAGAUGCUCUGUCUGUAUCAGCACUUAAGUCCACUGUAUCUAGAAUGUUGAAUGUUUUACUGUUUACUUUUAUGUAAGGGUGAAUUAGGCCCUUACAUUACCCUAACUUAUUUACUUCACAAACUUGGGAUUUCUUGCCACUUUAAUUUGUCUUACUGUUUUACUAGAAAAUGUGUGCAAGUAAAACCAAAAAUUUAACUCAAGUCCUCGCUAAUUUUAGCUCCGUCGAUUCUAAAUCAGACGUCACCCUCUCCUGCGGGCCUCGUGGCGUCUCCGGGCUAGCUUUUCACCAAAACUUGUGCUCUCAAGUCACUUUACUCUAUACCUUUGUGUUGUAUUAGCACAUGGGGACAUGAAAAACCAAAAAGCUACCCAAGUCCUCAAAGGAUUCUGCUCCGUCCGUCCGAAUUGCGACUUUUCCCCCCUAAGUCCGGAACGUUCGUGCGGGUUAGUCUAGUUUGUGAAGGAAGUGCAACCUCAGAUCCUUGGAUUGUGUUUUCCUCUUAACACCAUCUCUAUGUACAUAUUUUAUGGCAUCAUCCAAGAUUUCAAGUUCUCUAGACCAUCCGUCGUGUGAUUUGAGGCAUUGCCCCCUCCUGCGGGUCUCAUGGCGUCUACGGGGCAGCUUUUCACAAAAACAUUGGUUUUCCUGAUGUUUUUCCAUUACUUAGUGUUCUAUUGCCACAUGGGCACAUGUAAAACAAAAAAUAUACCCUAAGCCCUAACAGAAUUCUUCUUCCUCGGUCCGAAAUGCGUGUUUUUCUCACUCUAGGGAUUGGGUUUGAAUGUUCCUUAGUGUUUUGUUACUAGCUUUUCACCAAAACUUGGGUUUCCAUGUCACUUUAAUAUAUCAUAGUGUUGUAUUAGGACAUGUCAACAUGAAAAAGCAAACAUCUACCCAAGUCGUCAACGGAUUCGGCUCCGUCCGUCCGAAUUGCUACUUUUCCCCCUCUAAUUCAAGAACGUUCGUGCAAGUUCGUCUAGUUUGUGAAGGAUGUGCAACAUGAGAUACUUGGAUUGUGUUUUCCUCUGAACACCAUCUUUAUGUACACAUUUGAUGACAUCAUCCAAGAUUUCAAGUUCUCUAAACGAUCCGUCGUGUGAUUUGAGGCAUCGCCCCCUCCUGCGGGCCUCGUGGCGUCUACGGGGUAGUUUUUCACCAAAACUUGUGUUCUCAAGUCAUUUUACUGUACAUUUGUGUUGUACUAGCACAUGGGGACAUGAAAAAUCAAAAAGCUACCCAAGUCAUCAAAGGAUUCUGCUCCGUCCGUCCGAAUUGCAACUUUUCCCCCCUAAGUCCGAAACGUUCCUGCGGGUAAGUCUAGUUUGUGAAGGAAGUGCAACCUCAGAUCAUUGGAUUGUGUUUUCCUCUUAACACCAUAUCUAUGUACAUAUUUUAUGACAUCA